ACUGCCGCCAUCUUCUUUGAAUUUGUGGAAGUACGCGAUUUCUGGUCUCAUAUUUUCAUCAUUUUUUCCGUGGUGCAAAUUUAAUGCACUAUGGCUGGAGUAAAUGGAGCCGAAAGUGAGAAGAUGGACACGGAUCCGCCAAGCCUUGCAGAAUUGACUACGUUGUUAGAAAAACAUGGAUUAAACCCAGAGGUUAUCAAAAAGAUUGAAGAAAUACACAGAAAAGACCCAGACUGCCUUAAAAGUGAAGAUUUGGACGACCGAGCUCUUGAUGCCCUCAAAGAUUUCCCAGUUGAACAUGCACUUGAUAUCUUGGACCAGUUCAAAGUGUCGUCCUUGGGACACGUCACAAAUAAAAGUUCUUAUCUUUGUGGCGUUAUGAAAGCAUACAGACAAGAAUACAGAGUGCAUAAAAAAGGUCCAGAUGAGGCAAAGAUAAAAAAACUUUAUGAAGUAAUUAAAACAACCUUGGAAAUCUUGGAAAGGACAAAAUAUCCUCUUGAGGUCACAACAGGACAAAGAAAGUAUGGUGGUCCCCCACCAGAUUAUGAUGGCCCAGAACCGGGACCAGGACAAGAGGUUUUCUGUGGGAAGUUACCUAAGGAUGUGUAUGAAGAUGAACUGAUUCCUCUGUUCGAAAAGUGUGGUAAAAUUUGGGAUCUGCGUAUUAUGAUGAACCCCCUUGAGGGCCAAAACAAAGGUUAUUGCUUCGUCACGUUCUGCGAUAGAAAAGGGGCAGAAAAUGCUGUCGCACAGCUGAAUGACUAUGAAAUCCGCAAGGAGAAGAAACUCAAGUGCAAUGUCUCGAUCGCCAAUACCCGGCUCUUUGUUGGUAACAUUCCCAAGGACCACAGUGAAGAACGGAUUAUGGAAGACUUCGGAAAGUUCUGUGAUGGGAUCAAGGAUGUCAUUGUCUACAAGUCAGCUGACAACAAGGAAUGGAAGAACCGUGGAUUUGCUUUCCUUGACUUUGACAGCCAUAAAAAUGCCUCUGCAGCCAGACGAAAGAUACUGAAAAUCCUGGCCAACCCAGCUAAUCCCAGUAAAAAGAAGAUCCCAUGGAAUGCAAUUGUCGAUUGGGCAGAUCCACAGGAGGAGCCUGAUGAUGAGAUAAUGUCAAAGGUGAAGGUCUUGUUUGUCAGUAAUCUCACAAGUGAUGUCACAGAGGAGGUGCUGAAAGAGAAAUUCUCAAAAUAUGGUGAACUAGAGCGGGUCAAAAAAUUGUCAGGUUAUGCAUUCAUCCACUUCGAGAAACGGGAAGAUGCAGAAAACGCAUUGAAGAACGUCUUAAUUGACACGGAAAUUGGUAAAAAUCAAGCCCAAGUAUCACUUGCCAAGCCUCAGUCUGAGAAUGCACAAAAGAAAAAGGAAAUGAGAAAGAAAAUCCGGCAAAGGCCUCCAAUGUUUAUGGGAGGUCCACCAUUCAUGGGCGAUAGAGAUCGAGGCAGAUUCGGACGCGGUCCAUGGGGUGGUCCAGAUAUGUACUCUGACUACAAUAUGUAUGGUGGCUAUGAUCAGGGUUAUGCAGGUGGCUACUUCGACCCCGUCUAUGAUGCCCCAGCAAAUGAUGAUGGUUAUGGCGACCCUAGCUAUGGAUGGGGAUACCGAGGGGGACCCCCAAGAGGCCGAGGUGGCCCACGAGGCGUUGGUAUGCGAGGACCAAUGGGAAUGCGAAGACCUCGUCGGGGAAUGCCUGUUGGACGUGGUCGGUCCGGUAUGCCAGCAGGCCGUGGUGGCCCACCAAUGCGAGGUGGUCGUGGUGCUCGUGGUGGUAUGGGUGCUGGUGAUGCCAAGCCACCAAUGCGGGGAGGAGCGAACUCCAAAAAUUGAUUGGAAAUAACCAAAAAUUAUCAUCCAGCACAAACUAAAAAUAAUUUGGAAUAUGGCCUGAUCACUUCAGUUUCAAAAACAUUGUGCGAUGUGCAGAAACAUUUUUAUUAUUAUUUCACAUUUGAUGGUAUACAUUUUGUGCUUUUGUAGAAAGAAAAACAUUUUGAAAGUUUGCAGCUAUUCAUAUAGUCAUCAAAACUAAAAACUAGAAAAAUUAUGUUUAUUUAGGAUUAUAUAGUAAGCCAGAAUUUGGGCAUUUUAUUUAUGUGAGGAAAAUGCAUUGAGGAAAUAUGUCUUUUGCCAUUGUGCACACUGCUGCAAACUGUCAUCUGUCAGCAUAUGGAGUACUUGGCUUCAUGAUCUGGCUGUUUAGGAGGAACUGGAGGUUGGCGAAAGCUGGUCUUCGCAACAGCGCAAGUCCCAUUGUCAACAAAGAGGAGCCAGUUUUUGUAGGCAUCAUACCCGUCAGAUGAUAGUGUUAUGACGACAGCAGUGGACAACGCAAUAGGACCAUGAGGUAUCAGAAGGAGGAAAUGGAGACAGCCUUUGACAAUCAGCUGUUUGCCUCUAAAAUAAUGCUAGUUACGGUGUUGCCCUUGCUACACAUGGGGUUGUAGCAGGAGUUUGCUACCAGAAAGGAGAACAACAGUUGCCAGUGCCACAUACAUAACUCAGGGACAAUGUACAUAUUGGCAGCUCUUUUAUACUAAGAACCGCUUCAAGAGUGGAGGUCAUUGGAUGAUCCUUAGGGAGCUCAUUUACAGCAUGCACCGGUGCAUGGCUGCUCUUCACACCUCGUAUUGAGUGUGUGCAGGCUAUGGAUCAUCUCGUGAUAGUAGUCGACAGUUGUUAUCAUGGUGUACUAAUAAGGAUACAUGAUUUAACUUGGAUGUGCAGAUCAUGAUCGAAUGGCAGUUAACAUCUUUGAGGAAAUAAACAUUCGUUAAAAAUGUUUUGAAAAGGUUCGGUAAAUUCAACCAACACCUGAUAUUGUUCUCAUCCGAGUGUCAGGCUGAUUGUAGUAAAAGGGAAAAGCUGACUUAAAAUGUUAAAUCAAACUGACAGAACAUAAUUGACGAGUAACUUUUGAAAGCACUCAACUUUUUCGUUUUGGAUCUUGGUCUGUGCGCAAAUGUGAAUUUUCCCCAAAAUUGUUACCUUGUGUACAAAUAAUUCCAUAUUUUGAGAUGAAAUCUUGUAUCGAAACAAAAAAGAUGAGGUGCAAUUGGCACCGGUCGCAGUUGUGUUUGUCAGUUAGAUAUGUUUAGAUAGUCCGAAAUUAUUUCAAAUAAUUGAGACAGCUUUUUGGAACAAAUGCUUUUGAUACUGCGCAUGGACCUUAGAAAAAUGUAUGAAUCUAGUGAAUAUUAAAAAUUGAUAAUAAAUAUUGUAUGAAACUUUUACUUGGCUAAUGGUCAUAUUAUGUAAUUUUGUCAUGAAAGUGUGUUGCACCCAGAGGGUUAUGAAUUAUAUUUUGUAUUUAAUUUGAAAUUAAUAUUUGUGAAUGACUGACUAUUCAUUGCAAACUAUGCAGUGUCAUUUUGGGAAUAUUUUGCCCAAUUACUGUAAACUUGUUCACAAAUUUUGCUGUAGACUGUGUUUACUGCCAAAAUUACAAGAGAUUUUAGCGGGUAAAUGUUGCGAAUAUUACCCGAGUUACAGUAUACUUUUUAAAAAUUCGCCUUCAUGCAUGCAAGCCCUUGGGGUUGGGACUAAUUGUGUUGUUUUAGAUUAGUAAUAGGGAAUAUGAAGCCAAAAGUGGCCAUGGCUAAAUAAGAAAAUACAAUUCAUCUGAUGGCACCUUUUCUGUUCUGAUGGAUUGCUCUGUAUGAGUGUGGAACACCUUCACUGUUUUUUUGUUAUAUUUUACGAAUGAAUUGAUGACAAACUAAAACGAAGCACAAACAGAAAACGUAAUCUAUACAUGUAUGUCAUACUAUUUGAAAAAUCUUGAUUUUUCAAUUUUUUAUCUAAAUUAAGUUUGACAUUGAAAUUUGAUUGUGUUUUCUGUGGAGAUAAAAACCGUGAAUACUUUCUGCUGUAUAUUGUGACUGCUUGUCUAUAUUUUUGUUCUGUAAACCACUGUACGUGUAGUAUGUAAGGAAAUGUGAAUCUAGAUAUUUAUCGAAUACCAUCAAACUGUAAAAAUGUUCCAUGAAUUUCAUGCUAAAGAAUCCAUUGUAAAAUAAAACUGUUCUACACACACAUAUAUUGCGAAUGGGUGUCUUUGCAGUGUCAACUUGGAAGGUUUUGGCCAUUUAACAUGUUUUUUGUAUUGAUCAUGAAACUGCACAUUGCAUUAUAUUAUAGAAUAUAUCUGUUUAAUUUAUUAAAUUCGGUAUGAACCAUGUAUAGGUAUAAUUAUUAUUGAAACGUUUUGAAAGUGACAAUUCAGGCCUAUUAGAAAAUCAUAUUCCAAAUAAUUAAAACAUUUUAACUUGUGUCUAUUUGAGAAAUUUGGAAUUAUUCAAUAAUGUGAAAUUUUACUCAUUUGCUUCAAAUGUACUAGUAUAUUGGGAAAUGUUAUUAACAUGUUGAAAAUUGUAUAAUGAUUUUUUUUGUGUAUUUGCGACCUUGAAAUGAAGAACAACAUUACUGUUCCAGUGAUCUUCUUCCUUGAGAGGAUCUCUCUGAUUCAGUCGGUAUGGUGACAUCAUCAUGUGGUUCUGCCUAGAAGUUUUUGGGACUUUCUUUUGACGAGGGUGGGUUAGAAGUAUUGAUUAUUACUUUAUGCUUACAAAACUUUCGGUAAUGCAUACGUUAUGCUUCGUAUCAUCUGAAAAAUAAAGGUUUCUUCAUACACUUUGAACGUCCUUGCUGGAACCCCCAACAUUUUGAAACCAUUCUAGCUGUAAAUUUCUCUCAGAUUUUAGUUGUUGAUCAAAAAUUGAAGUCCUUGUGUGUAUCUUUGUCCUAAUAUUUUAUUGCAACAACUUCAGAACCAUUUGUUUUGAAACAUUGACAACAAAAGGUUUUGUUCUGACCAAUUCUGUUAGAAAGACAACUCAGGUCUGCUCAGAAUACCAACCAAGUUUGGCCACCUGGGUAUUUUUAGAAUCUCUGUCAAUGUUGACAAUAGGUUAAAUGAAUAAUACAUGUAAUACCUCCAGUAUCCUGCUCCUUGUGACUUGAUAAUAACUAUGAUGAAUUUACAGUAUAAACAUUUCUUUCAUUUGAAAGGUUGGGGUAAAACCUAAAAAAGCAAGGAAUUCUUUUGAAAGUAUUAACUGGGAGUCCCUCAUGUACAGACGAAACGACCCUCAUUAGGAUGUGUUGGUGCAUUAUCACACUUGACUGCUCUUGGUAAUUGGUUCCAUUCAGCGCUGAAUUUCAGCUCUUCCUCCAAAGUUAAUGGUAUUGCGAGUAGACCUGAACAAAUACACAUUACUAGUAUUUGCAAGUGGAGGGGAUAAAACAUACUGCACAAUUCUGACACUGUGUGCUGUUUGUUGGCACAUGUACAGGCUCUUUCUUGCCAGUGGUAACUUGCUAAGCAGUAUUGGUCCUUAUAUCCUCUUCUUAGAAGUUCUGGUUAUCAUCUCCCACAAGCAAUACAAUGUAUCAGCAUGAGGAGACAGAACGAUAGCGAUCGAUCAGCCAGAAUUUGAUAUGCACAACCCAAUUGGGCAAUUGAGAUUUUCCUGGACUGCCUGUGAUCAAACUUCUUCAGACCUUCGCUUGAAUUGGAUCACUUAGUGUAGCCAGGGAAUACAGGCAAGAACAGAAGGGUUAAAUUGGCCACCUUUGGGUGACUAAUAUGCACAGUAAGGGCACUAGGUCAUGUUUGAUUCACAGCUAAAUAUAUUCCUCAUACUAGCUUGUUAGCUGAUAACAUAAUGUAUGUGCAUUGAUGUACAUGAAACAACAUGUCAACAUGCUUUCUAACAACCAGGCCCAGGCUAGUUGAUUGAAAACUAAGAAUUUUGAUACCAGUCUCUACAGGAAAUCUGAAAUAGGUAACUUGUUGCAUGAACUUAAAAGACAGUGAAGUGAUCUGACCUUGACAGGAACGAGAGCUAAAAUAGAAGUAGGUUGAAACUUAGUGCAGUUGUGUGUGAAUCUUUAACCUCCCCUCUGGAGUGCAACAUUGUGUGCAAGCUGUGAUCAUGUGCAUUUAUUGCUGUGAUAAUGUGAAGAUCAUGUCUAGUGGAUGGAUAUACGUUUGGGUUAUGUCGAAUAAAUUGUAUAUCAUGAAAACUGA
Molecule: RNA transcript, 6031 nt
Organism: Lineus longissimus
Lineage: Eukaryota; Metazoa; Nemertea; Pilidiophora; Heteronemertea; Lineidae
Gene name: heterogeneous nuclear ribonucleoprotein R-like
Exons: 16
Source: RefSeq, a predicted model, not a curated record